GCCUUUUCACAUGCAGUCGGACGGCAGCACAGAGAAGCUUGCUUCUUGGGUGGCGAGUGGCGAACGGGUGAGUAACAUAUCGGAACGUACCGAGUAGUGGGGGAUAACUGAUCGAAAGAUCAGCUAAUACCGCAUACGUCUUGAGAGAGAAAGCAGGGGACCUUUGGGCCUUGCGCUAUUCGAGCGGCCGAUAUCUGAUUAGCUGGUUGGUGGGGUAAAGGCCUACCAAGGCGACGAUCAGUAGCGGGUCUGAGAGGAUGAUCCGCCACACUGGGACUGAGACACGGCCCAGACUCCUACGGGAGGCAGCAGUGGGGAAUUUUGGACAAUGGGCGCAAGCCUGAUCCAGCCAUGCCGCGUGUCUGAAGAAGGCCUUCGGGUUGUAAAGGACUUUUGUCAGGGAAGAAAAGGCUGUUGCUAAUACCAGCGGCUGAUGACGGUACCUGAAGAAUAAGCACCGGCUAACUACGUGCCAGCAGCCGCGGUAAUACGUAGGGUGCGAGCGUUAAUCGGAAUUACUGGGCGUAAAGCGGGCGCAGACGGUUACUUAAGCAGGAUGUGAAAUCCCCGGGCUCAACCCGGGAACUGCGUUCUGAACUGGGUGACUCGAGUGUGUCAGAGGGAGGUAGAAUUCCACGUGUAGCAGUGAAAUGCGUAGAGAUGUGGAGGAAUACCGAUGGCGAAGGCAGCCUCCUGGGACAACACUGACGUUCAUGCCCAAAAGCGUGGUGUAGCAAACAAGGAUUACAUACCCUGGGAGUCUACGCCCCAAACCGAUGUCAAUUACCUGGUUGAGCAACCUGAAUUGCA
RNAcentral lists this ribosomal RNA (810 nucleotides) under Neisseria meningitidis. RNAcentral describes it as "bacterial SSU rRNA". It matches the Rfam family "Bacterial small subunit ribosomal RNA", at positions 46 to 839 of the family's 1533-position model. Lineage: Bacteria; Pseudomonadati; Pseudomonadota; Betaproteobacteria; Neisseriales; Neisseriaceae. The record is from RNAcentral.